Molecule: ribosomal RNA, 318 nt
Filed under: uncultured bacterium
Lineage: Bacteria
Description: bacterial SSU rRNA
Rfam family: Bacterial small subunit ribosomal RNA
Source: RNAcentral
UCAGGCCUAACACAUGCAAGUCGUAAAAAUUAGAUUUAUCUAAUCUAGUGGCGGACGGGUGCGUAACACGUAAGAACCUACCUUUUGGAGGGGGAUAACAUUGGGAAACUGAUGCUAAUACCCCAUAUUAGCUGAGGAGUGAAAAGCGGGUAUCUCGUGAGGGAGCCACGCGCCAGAAGAGGGGCUCGCGGCUGAUUAGCUAGUUGGUGGGGGUAAAAGCCUCCCAAGGCCACGAUCAGUAGCUGGUCUGAGAGGAUGAUCAGCCACACUGGGACUGAGACACGGCCCAGACUCCUACGGGAGGCAGCAGUGAGGAAU